RNAcentral lists this small nucleolar RNA (76 nucleotides) under Triticum aestivum (bread wheat). RNAcentral's name for it is "Small nucleolar RNA R12". It matches the Rfam family "Small nucleolar RNA R12". Rfam says of the family: snoR12 is a C/D box small nucleolar RNA, which acts as a methylation guide for 25S ribosomal RNA in plants. snoR12 has been alternatively named snoZ44 in Arabidopsis and snoZ131 in rice. The record is from Rfam by way of RNAcentral. Lineage: Eukaryota; Viridiplantae; Streptophyta; Magnoliopsida; Poales; Poaceae.
AUCUGGGUGAUGAAGAAAAUCGUUCGGAUUCCCACUGAUUUUUCAUGAUUGUUACAACCAGCUACUUCUGACAGAU